GUCUAUGGCUAUGUUACCCUGAACAAACCUGAUCCCAUCUGUCUCGGAAGCUAAGCGGGGUCGGGCCUGGUUAGUACUUGAAUGGGAGACCACCUAGGAAGACUAGGAGCUAUAGGUG
Molecule: ribosomal RNA, 118 nt
Filed under: Pteropus alecto (black flying fox)
Lineage: Eukaryota; Metazoa; Chordata; Mammalia; Chiroptera; Pteropodidae
Source: RNAcentral